Podarcis lilfordi (Lilford's wall lizard) is the source of this 73-nucleotide non-coding RNA. NCBI's taxonomy places the organism in Eukaryota, Metazoa, Chordata, Lepidosauria, Squamata, Lacertidae. The record is from the annotation of a GenBank genome assembly.
UGCAUAGCUCAGUCGGUAGAGCGUGAGGCUCAUGAUCUCAGGGUUGUGGGUUUAAGCCCUACAUUGGGCAAAA